AUCAUCAGCAUCGACCUGCUUUCUACACCUGCUCCUUCUGUAUGAUCCCUGCCUGAGGGAUUGUAAAUGAGUCUUCGAACCUGCAAAGUUUACAGGUAAGUGUGGGUGAGGGAACUCAUGAAAUCAGAAGAAAAGGCAAGAGAGAGGGCAGGGAGCAGAACAGAACUUCUUUCUACGGUUUUCUGUUCUUUGUUCAGUCAUUAGUGGCAUAAUGUAAGAGCUUACUCCCCCUCCCACCAUCCUGGAAUCUCCUGCAAUUCCAUCUAUGCCCAUGUUUUCAUACUGUGUUGUCACACUUCAUCAGCUGUGUUAUAACUCCAAUAAGUGGCACACAAUGAAUGUUCCAUCCCCCCAAAGCUGGCCCCAAGCAAAUGGCUUCAGAGGGCUUAAUAAUAAAUCGGAGGCAUUCCAAAUGGAUUCUGCAAGCAUUCCAAGUCCCCAGAACCCAGUGUGACUGUUCAUCACUAGAUCUAUCUCUCAGAUGCGGGAGGAAGAUAAACGCCGUGGUGAUGAUGCAGAUGAGUUGGCUCUUGUGACCCGAUGUUCCCAUGAAGAGAGGAAUGCAUGUUGUUAGAACAGGAGGUGCAGCAGCAGCCGCAGCAGCAGCAGAAUUAUAGGCCUCGUCUUCUGCAGGCAUCACUUACCAGCUUAUUACCAUGGAGACAAAACCCUGUCUGUCCUCUGCAUUUUCAAGUGGUUUAUUAACCUUUGACUGUGCACAGAGAUUGGCACAUCUUCUCCACCAACUAAAAGCCACUUAAAGGAAGGAAGGAAGAUAGAAAGAAAGAAAGCCAUCAGACUUUUCUCUCUGAUUGAGACCAAGCUUCUUUACAGCAGGAAGUGGUAAACUCUGGUUUCUAGUGGUAAGAUGUGGUCUGAGGGGUGAAUCCCAAGUGAGUUCACAGCUCUGUGCCUCAGUCGCAUCUUCUGUGAGACGAGUUGUUUGUACAGCAGUUUUAAAAAUAGCUCUAAAAACCAGGAGAUAACUGAAUGUGUGGGCCGUUGUGGGCAGAAAGGGAGAGCUGCAUGAAUACAGCUGUUCUUAACAAUAAUCAAGAACUGUUUGGUAACAUUAACCUAAAUGGAGAGAGGCUCAAAGCGUUUCCACUCAAACCAAGAACAAGACAAGGUUGUCUACUGUCUCCACACCCACUCAGUGUAGUACUAAAAGUCUUAGAGCUAUAAGACAACUGAAGGAGGUCAAGGGGAUGCAGAUAGGAAGGGGCCAAAGUCUCUUUAUCUGAAGAUUAUAUUAUUAUAAAUAUAUAAGUAAUUCCAAAAAUUCUACCAGGGAACUCCUACAGCUGAUAAACACUUCCAUCAAAGGAGCAGUAUACAAAAUUAAUACAGAAAGUCAGUAGCCUUCCCAUAUACAAAUGGCAGAGU
This 1386-nucleotide long non-coding RNA is filed under the name Mus musculus (house mouse). Its description in RNAcentral is "long non-coding RNA chr14:76780826-76782212". Lineage: Eukaryota; Metazoa; Chordata; Mammalia; Rodentia; Muridae. The record is from RNAcentral.